This 941-nucleotide long non-coding RNA is filed under the name Pan troglodytes (chimpanzee). RNAcentral's name for it is "long non-coding RNA NONPTRT009935". Lineage: Eukaryota; Metazoa; Chordata; Mammalia; Primates; Hominidae. The record is from RNAcentral.
UUUCUCGCUGGGCAGGUUCUCCCUGCCUGGGUUUCCAUCCACCCCAUCACUGGGGCUAUGGAACCAGUAGCAUCUCUGCAACUCCCUGGGAUAGAGCCCCCAGUGGGAGGGGUGGGUUGCCAUCUUUGCUGUCUCACCUCCCUCACCCUUGCUGUCUCCAGGUUCUGGAGUCUGUGAGGACUAGGAGCUGGUCAGGACCCCCAGCACAGAGCAGUCACCUCGUGGAAAAGUGGCCAGACUAUUCUCCAUGCAGGCUCAGUCCUCACUGCUUCUCAGUGGACAGGUCCACCCUACCUUGGACUCCAGCACAACCACCCUGCCCUCACCUGACAACUUCAAUCAGAAGCAGCACAGCAUUUCUUUGAGGAGGAAAUGCCAGAAUCAACCCACCACCCCUCCACCACUGCAGCUGCAGUCAAUCCGCAACCCUCAUUUUAAAAGUCCUUGGGCUGGGGAAAGAACAAAGGACCUGGUCACUACACUGGUACCUUCAGCACAGGGCAGCCACCACACAGAAAGGAGUCCAGCCCCUCUUCCCUGGCAACCCCGGAACAGAGUAGUCAGCUGAAAAAAAAAAAAAGUAAGACUCAAUGGUGUGCUAUCUUCAAGAGGAGAGACCCAUCUCAUACAUAAUGACAUCAACAUGGUGAAAAUAAAGGGAGGGAGGAAAACCUACCAAGCAAAUGGAAAUCAGAAAAAAACAUGGGUUGGUAUCCUAAUUUCAGAUAAAAUAGACUUUAAACCAACAAAGAUUAAAAAAAAAGACAAAGAAUGUCUUUACAUAAUGGUAAAAGGCUCAAUUCAACAAGAAGACCUAACUAUCCUAAAUAUAUAUGCACCCAAUACAAGAGCACUCAGAUUCCUAAAGCAAAUUCUUGGAGACCUUCAAAUAUACUUAGACUCCCACACUACUAUAACAAUAAUAGGAGGAGACUUCAACA